This is a long non-coding RNA of Camellia sinensis, 330 nucleotides long. RefSeq lists it as uncharacterized. NCBI's taxonomy places the organism in Eukaryota, Viridiplantae, Streptophyta, Magnoliopsida, Ericales, Theaceae. The record is from RefSeq and is a predicted model, not a curated record.
AGCUCAAAAACGUGAUUUUUGAGUCAUUUCUUAGAUUUUCUUUUCCUCUCUUCUUCUUCCCUCUUCCAUGUCCGAAACCCUAGCUCCCAAAACCUUGAUUUCCUCCACUUUUCUCAACAAAUUAACCAUGAAUCUUGCAUCAAGGGUGGAGAAUAAGAGGAGAUCACCACUUUCUACCGAAUGGAAUUCCGAAAUUUUUGAGGGCAUAACCUGAGAAGGACGAGCACUCCGUUAUAGCACUGUCCUGCAUUUGGAGGUCAGCCUAAACUUUUAAUGCUCGUCUUCCUUGUUAGCCUCUGUGUGUCCAAGCAUUUGGGUGAAGCCUACCCA